AUUAAAGAUGUCUUUAGCUGCAAUUCUACUACAAAAUGUAUGCAAGUAUUUAGUGAAUGAAUGAAUUAAUUAAUCUGUCCAUGUGUGUGUGUGUGGAUGUGUAUGUGUUACUCGAAAGACACCUGUUGUUAUGUCCUGUUAUUAUUUUUAUUGUAUUUGUGUAACUUUGUCCAUUUUUUUCCGUCCUUGUUUUUGUAUACAUUCACUGCUUUCUUCCAGGGAAUCUAAUGCUCUUAGCUUAGUUUUUCCUUGGAGCUGGCCAGAUUGGAGCAAUUUUGAGUAUAAUCAGCCGAAAUUGCAAAGAUAAUCUGGUACUCAACUGAGGAAAGAAAACUUCGAAUGACCCGUCCUUGGUUUCUUUGUAUCGUCUAUCUGGAUAUUUUGUUGUCUUAUUUUUGUAUCACCUAACUGUCUGGAUGUUUUGUGUUCUUGUCCCAUUUUGUAUUUUUUAUAUGUAUACAUAUCUAUCCAUCUCUACCAAUCCAACUAGCCAUAUGUGGAUCCAUCUAUCAAACUAUCUAUUAGUACUUUUGCAUUUUGAAAACCUCUUUGAAAGUGAUGAGAAGUAGCUUCUCUAUUAUCAUGUCUUCAUGGAAAUAAUAAUGUGUUGCACCCUGCAAAUGUGGAUAAUGCAGCUCUACGCCAGUUAUGCUCUGUGUUUGUGAAGAAGGAAAGGCAAAAAUAAGAAUGCUCUUACCUCUAAACAAAAUCACAUCAGAAUAUUCAGCUUUGCUUCAGAAGGAUCAGCAGAAUGUGUUGGUUGCACCUACAUGUGUACACUUCCCCAACAUCUGGCCAGAAACUACUCUCCCUCUGAGAUCCCUUCUACACAUCUGUUCACCUCAACAUCUUGAUAAAGAAAGAGGAUGUUCAAAUGCCCUGAUUCUUGAUGUACUGUUACUUCCACUCAUUUUUGGUCCUGAUGUCUCCUCUAACUCUCUCCACAGUUCGGUUGGAUAUGAAGUUUGUUGCCUAUCAUAAAGUUUUAAAUCAAACUGAAACAUUCAUGCAGAAAAAUAUUGUUGCAUUGCACAAAAAUUUGCAGAAAAUGUACUUAUCAUUGGUCAGUCAUAAAGGGAUGUUGCUCUUACAUGAGAAAUCAGUGCCACAUAUUGCCUAAGUCACUCAGGGAAAAAUCAUGGCACUAAAUAUGAAAAAUUUUAUUUCAUCCUCCUUGCUCUCCUGAUUUUCAUAUAUCUGACUAUCAUCUUUUCAUAUCAUUGCAAUAUUAUUUAGAGAGAAGAGUUUACUAUUUGUGAAGAGCUUAAAAAUUAUACUGCUUCUUUACUUCAUAAUAUGAAGAAUGCUAUGUGUGAGGGAUCACCAAUUUGCCAAAUAGAUGCGAUUUAAGUCAUCAAUAGUAAGGGGAACUAUUUUCUUGAUUAUCAGUUAAGACCAAAGAAGCAUUCAUUUCUUUUCUUUCCUGAAAUGCCUCCGCACUUUCUUGUGAACCUAAUGUCUCUCUCUAUGUGAGAGUGGGUGUCUAUGUAUUUAUAAAUGUGAAUGUAUGUAAGUAUCUCUCUCUCUCUAUGUGUGUGUAUAAUCAUCAUUUAAUGUCCAUCUUUCAUGCUGGAUUAGGUCAUGAAAGUUACUGAGAGAGUUAUAGCCCAAUUGAUUAGAAAUAGAAUUAAACUAGAUGAGAUGCAGUUUGAUUUUUGUCUGGGAAGAGUACCACAGAUGCCAUCUUCUUUGUGAUACAGCUGCAGAAGUAUUUGGCCAAAAGUAUACCAUUGUCUCAAUGACUGAAACCGGUACUAAAAUGUUUUUUAUGAUAAAAUUAUUUUAGCAUUUUCUACCUUGACUUUUUUUCCUUAUAUAUAUAUAUAAGUAUAUGAUUUAACUUCUAAAACAAAGUUCAAUCAUAUUUUUCAUAAAUGGAGGAGAUUACAUGUUAAUAUGGAUUGAAAUUAUUUUUAUUCAUGUAGCUAUUUGAUCGUUUCAUUCAGAAAGGCAAUAAAUUCGUUUUAAGAAUCUGGGUUGGCAAAAUGUCACUUUUCAAAAAAUUGUUUGAAUUUCUUUUUAUCAUUGUCUUGCGAGAAAGAGGGUGUGUGUGUGGGGUCUGUGUAUCUGAAAGGAGUGUCAAUGGAAAAAGGAAGGAGGAGAGAAAGAAGAAAAAAAAUGUGUUUACAUCUUUGUAGUUGGUCAGUCUUUCAAUAGUAAAUGAUUCUUGGCUUUUAGAAAUGGCAAACCCAGCUGGUCAGUCUUCCAAUAGUAAAUGAUUCUUGGCUUUUAGAAAUGGCAAACCCAGCUGGUCACUUCAAGAGAGGGGGGGGGGGGCAAAUGUCACUUGUCAGCGAUUUGGCUGGAUUUCUUUUUAUCAUUGUUUUGUGAGAGAGAGUAUGUGUGUGUGUAUCUGAAAGGAGUGUCAAUGGAAAAGAGAAGGGAAGAAAAAAUUGUGUUGACAUCUAUACCGCUGUUCAGUUCUUUCAAUCCAAUGUUUGAUUCCUGUGCUGACAUGGGUUGGAGAAUCUGGAUGAAAGAUUGUUUUUAUUUGUGUAUAUGUACAUAUGUAUAGUACUGUGUGUGUUUAAUACAAUUUACUUUACAAAAUUGGUCCUUCAUCUAGUACAAAUUAUUAUAGAAAUAUUUUCAGCCAUCCAAUAUUGAAUUUCUUGUAACAAAGUCACAAUUUCCAAGUAUAUUAUAAAAGACUCCAUAGAGUUAAAACAUGAUUGUUAAAAGUUUCCAGUUACAAUAAAGAAGUUGUCAAUUGUUGAUGAAGUAGUCUGCAAAAGACUCUCAUAACAACGUCCAUUCUGGUCAUAUACCAAUCUUGGUUGCUGAAUAUAUGCAGAAACAAUUGCUGCUGCCAAGUUGUCUAUAACUAAUCUCAUUUUUAAUUAUCCUAUCACACACCCAGACUAUCUCAAUGACUUCAUCCAUUUCUCAGGAAAUACUCCAUCCCACACCCAAUCUCCGUACUUCUCUCACAGAAGAAUUAUCGUGCUUUUUCUUUCCUGUGAGGAGUUUAUCUGGGACUACCUUCCAUCUUUCCACUUGCACACUAUACAUUAUUAUCAUUUAAUGUACAUUCACCACACUAGCAGCAGAGAAUUUUUUUUUACUAUAGACAUAGUAAGGUGAGAGGAUGAAGUAUGAUGAUGAGAUAAACAGAUUUUAGAUGUGACAGGGUAAUAGGAAAGUUACAAUAUAUUUAUUUUAAUGUUGUCUGAUUUUCUGAAACAAAGAAACUAUAAGCUAUAGAGGGUGUUUAUAAGAGUAGACUACAUCAUGUCUGUAAAUAUAAGCAUUUAUUUGAACAAAUGUACCAAUCCUUUGUAUCCAUUUCCUUUCAAGGAUAUGAUAGGGUGUAAUUUGAGGGAAAGUUGGGCAUCAUUACUAGCAGGGUGAGCAAUCAGAUUCCCCAUUCCUGAACUAAUAAACACACCCAUUCCUUCUUUCCUAAUCACUGGCUUUUCUCAUUUCUUUCCUGCAGGUGUUGUAUUUGAACUACUCAGGAGGGACAUUAAUGGCACAAAACUCACCUGCAAAGACACCAAGUCCUGCAUAUAUCUGAAGAUAAAGCAUCUAAAACAGAAAACCUCAUCAGCAUAUUGUUGCCUCUGUGGACAGCUAUUAUGGCUUGGAAGACCACAAUGAACGAGAAAGAAGGACUUACCACUAGUAGACCCCUACCUGUCUGCUAGGCUCAUUGUACAGAGAUUCAUUAAUGAAUCUCUGUACAUAGUUUCUAAAGGCCUCGAUACGCAUUUCCCAAACCUCUGGCUUUCUAAGCAACCAAUGGCCCACAGGAAAGCGGGGUCUUGUCAUCCAACCAAUGUAUAGACUUACAACUAGCUAAGUAUUUCUUCUGCUGUUAAUAACAAGAAAUAUGACUGCAGUGAUGUUU
RNAcentral lists this long non-coding RNA (3850 nucleotides) under Octopus vulgaris (common octopus). Lineage: Eukaryota; Metazoa; Mollusca; Cephalopoda; Octopoda; Octopodidae. The record is from RNAcentral.